UCCGUAGGUGGAUAAUUAAGUCAGAGGUGAAAUCCUGCAGCUCAACUGUAGAAUUGCCUUUGAAACUGGUUAUCUUGAGUUAUUAUGAAGUAGUUAGAAUAUGUAGUGUAGCGGUGAAAUGCAUAGAUAUUACAUAGAAUACCAAUUGCGAAGGCAGAUUACUAAUAAUAUACUGACACUGAUGGACGAAAGCGUGGGGAGCGAACAGGAUUAGAUACCCUGGUAGUCC
RNAcentral lists this ribosomal RNA (229 nucleotides) under uncultured bacterium. RNAcentral's name for it is "partial 16S ribosomal RNA". It matches the Rfam family "Bacterial small subunit ribosomal RNA", at positions 568 to 796 of the family's 1533-position model. The record is from RNAcentral.